GCCGAAGUGGUGGAAUUGGUAGACACGCCAUCUUGAGGGGGUGGUGAGCAUUGCUCGUGCGGGUUCAAGUCCCGCUUUCGGCACCA
RNAcentral lists this transfer RNA (86 nucleotides) under Zhongshania sp. RNAcentral's name for it is "tRNA-Leu". It matches the Rfam family "tRNA". Rfam says of the family: Transfer RNA (tRNA) molecules are approximately 80 nucleotides in length. Lineage: Bacteria; Pseudomonadati; Pseudomonadota; Gammaproteobacteria; Cellvibrionales; Spongiibacteraceae. The record is from RNAcentral.